This 481-nucleotide ribosomal RNA is filed under the name Assiminea sp. 2 TW-2012. RNAcentral describes it as "partial 16S large subunit ribosomal RNA". It matches the Rfam family "Bacterial large subunit ribosomal RNA", at positions 1836 to 2587 of the family's 2925-position model. Lineage: Eukaryota; Metazoa; Mollusca; Gastropoda; Littorinimorpha; Assimineidae. The record is from RNAcentral.
UAAUAAAAUAUAAAGAGUUGAGCCUGCCCAGUGAAGUAAUUAAACGGCCGCAGUACCCUGACUGUGCAAAGGUAGCAUAAUCAUUUGCCCUAUAAUUGAGGGCUAGUAUGAAUGGUUUGACAAGAACAAAGCUGUCUCUAUAAAAUUUAGUAGAAUUUGGUUUUUAGGUGCAGAAACCUAAAUUUGAUUGAAAGACAAGAAGACCCUAUCGAGCUUGAAACGAGUUUUUUAAGAAAUGUAAAUUAAAUCAGUUUUAAUUAAUAAUUUUUGGUUGGGGCGACUAAGGAACAAUUAAAGCUUCUUUGUUUUUUUAAACUUAUUGGUUGUGAUCCAAUAUAUUGAUUACGAGAAAUAGUUACCGUAGGGAUAACAGCAUAAUCUUUUUUGAGAGUUCUUAUCGAAAAAAAGGUUUGUGACCUCGAUGUUGGACUAGGAUAUCCUGAUAGGUGCAGAAGUCUUCAAGGGUUGGUCUGUUCGACCA